This 145-nucleotide small nuclear RNA is filed under the name Nomascus leucogenys (northern white-cheeked gibbon). Its description in RNAcentral is "U1 spliceosomal RNA (ENSNLEG00000022756.1)". It matches the Rfam family "U1 spliceosomal RNA". From Rfam's summary of the family: U1 is a small nuclear RNA (snRNA) component of the spliceosome (involved in pre-mRNA splicing). Its 5' end forms complementary base pairs with the 5' splice junction, thus defining the 5' donor site of an intron. The record is from RNAcentral. Lineage: Eukaryota; Metazoa; Chordata; Mammalia; Primates; Hylobatidae.
CCACUUACCUGGCAGGGGAGAGACCGUGGUCACGAAGGGGGUCCUCCCAGAGUGAAGCUUCUUCAUCGCGCUCUAGAGUUGCUGAUCCCUGUGAUUUCCUGAAUGUGGGAAACCGUGUUUGUGCCGGAAGAGGGCUGCGCUCUUU